Condylostylus longicornis is the source of this 3281-nucleotide RNA transcript. It is a transcript of the gene named protein HIRA homolog, with no coding region annotated. The transcript has 9 exons. Lineage: Eukaryota; Metazoa; Arthropoda; Insecta; Diptera; Dolichopodidae. The record is from RefSeq and is a predicted model, not a curated record.
AUGCAAAUGAAAACUAACGGAAUGGAAUGAUUCGAACUACUUAUUAUUAGAUAUACUUUGAUUGCAUUGGAGUGAUAAAAAUGGAGAGUCGAACUACUUAUUAAUAUAUAUACUUUGUAUUUUUAAUAAAAUAAUUCGGAUAAACACUUAUUGGUAUCAAACACGACUGACAGAUAUUUAUUGUAAUGUCAAGGUAUUAAAACAAAACAUACCUUAUUUAAUUUUCAGUUUAAAGUUUGGAAAAACUAUUGCAAUUUUAAGUGACAAAAUAUAUAAGAAAUGAAGCUUCUUAAACCGCAUUGGGUGCAUCAUGAUGAAAAGCCUAUAUUUUCUGUGGAUAUUCACCCAAAUUGCUUGAAAUUUGCUACCGGAGGUCAAGGAAAUGAUUCAGGCCGCGUUGUCGUUUGGAAUUUGUUGCCAGUUAUAUCCGAGGAAGCAGAGGAAGAUGAAAAUAUACCAAAAAUACUUUGUCAAAUGGAUAAUCAUCUAGCUUGUGUGAAUUGUGUUCGUUGGUCAGAAAAUGGCCAAAUGUUGGCUUCAGGCUCUGACGACAAAUUAGUUAUGAUUUGGAAGAUGUGCAAAGGUCCAAGUGGAGUAUUCGGAACAGACGGAAUAACCAAAAAUCCUGAAAGUUGGAAAUGCAUAUAUACACUUCGAGGACACUCUGGUGACGUUCUAGAUGUAGCUUGGUCUCCUGGAGACAGAAGGCUCGCAAGUUGUAGUGUGGACAAUUCAAUUAUAAUUUGGGAUGCUCAGGCUUUUCCUACAAUCAUUAGUGUUCUUAAAGGUCACACUGGUUUGGUAAAAGGAGUUGCUUGGGACCCGGUAGAAAAAUUUUUGGCGUCACAGAGUGAUGAUCGCAGCAUAAAAAUUUGGAAAACAAGUGAUUGGAAUUGUAAUAAUACUAUAACAGACCCUUUUGAAGAGUGUGGUGGUACUACACAUAUUUUAAGGUUAAGCUGGUCUCCUGAUGGCCAGUAUUUAGUAUCUGCUCAUGCUAUGAAUGGUGGUGGACCUACUGCUCAAAUAAUUGAACGAGAAGGUUGGAAAUGCGACAAGGACUUUGUUGGGCACCGCAAAGCAGUUACAUGUGUUCGAUUUCACAAUUCAAUUUUAAAAAGGCACGCACCGAAAACGAAAAAAUCUCAACAAUACUGUUGCCUUGCUGUAGGAUCGAGAGAUAGAUCUUUGUCGGUUUGGAUGACGGCCUUACAACGGCCAAUGGUUGUAAUACAUGAUUUGUUUCAGGAUAGCGUUCUGGAUUUAUCAUGGGGCCCAGAAAAGUGUGUCCUUUUGGCAUGUAGUGGGGAUGGAACAGUCGCUUGUUUGCAAUUUUCCGAAAAAGAGCUAGGAACUCCAUUGUCGGAAGAAGAUAAGAACAUGUUGUAUCACCGCAUAUAUGGUAAAAGUGCGUCCGCCUUUGAAAAUAACAAUGCAAACGACCGUGAUAUGGUUAUUGAAAACUCUGAGUUACUAGAAUAUGCACAAGAAAAGCACAAACCACCGGUUUUGCCAGUAUUGAAAUCUGUAAACAAAGCAGAUUUGGACAAUUUUUCGACAGAAACGACACAAAAUCAAAUCACAAAUGUUCAUUUAAAAACUGCAAUCAACAAGCAAAUCGAAACUAUAACAGUGGAUGGUAAAAGAAGAAUAACACCAGUUUUUAUUCCUCUUAGCUUGGAAGGGGAAAAGAACAUAUCCGAAUUUAUUAGUUCGUCCAGAAUAAAUUGUACAGUCCCAAAAGAAAAAAUCCAUAAUCUCACAAAAACUGAUCAAAAUACUAUUUCUGCUAAAAUAACUACUGUUGAAAAAGCACAUUUGGACAAUCGUCUGACAAAAACAGUAAUUUCUGCUCCAGCAAAAAGUUCAGGCAUAUCAAAUUCUAUAAUCACUCAAACUAAGCAAAUUCGUCAAAAUUCAAUUAUCAAUGUACCAAACAAACUUAACAUAAUACAAAAUCAUUCCAUUAGCUCAUGUAAAACUUCCAACGAAACUUCUAAAAUUGCCGGCGAUUUUCGAGUUUUUGUUAAAAACUCAUUUUUAAAAACAUCUGUUGGAGCUUUGUGCAGGGUCAAUGCUUUGUUAUUGAGUACUGGUGAAAAGUUAUGGGAAAAAUUAAUAGGAUCUGCAGUGGCAAAUUUCAGUGUUUCCGUGAAGUACGUUAUGAUUUGCACAUUAGACGGAAAUAUAAGAUUUCUCUUUACUAAAAAUGGAAGUGUCGUUGUUCCGAUUUUAUCAAUAUCUACAGCAGCUACUCAAUGUGCUUUUUGUCCAUCAGGUAAAUUAGCUGGUGUUAUAUCUGAAUGUGGUUCAUUGAAAAUUUGGAAUGUUGAGGAGAAAAAAAUCUUUAUAUCCGCAUCAUGUUCUGAAAUGUUCAAAAAGUGUGGUCAAGUAAUUCAAUUUAGCAUUACUGAAAGCGGAACACCAAUUGUUUUGUUUUGCAAUGGUACUUCAUACUCGUACUCUGAGACAAUGAAGUGUUGGUUAGUUUUAAACUCCCAAGAUCCCGUUAUAAUGCAUGGAUUGCAGUCUACUAUACCAAAAGAUUUACAGAAAAAUUUUGCAAAAUAUCCUCUUAUGUCCGUCCAAGCUGCUACAUUUGGUCAUCAAUCAUUUUUGGACAUCAAUUCAAGUAAAUUCCUUUCCGGGGCAAAAUUAGAUUUUAUAGAAAACCAAAUCAAGUUAUCUGAAUUAAUUAAUGCUCCCGAUGAAUUAAUAUAUUGGUAUUCCAUGUUAGGCUACUUUUUGUGCACUGAAGGUACAGAAAAAAAAAUGCGGAGUGUACUGGAUGAUUUAGCAAAAACAAGCAACUUGUAUUCAAGUCAUUCAAACUAUUGUAAUCGUGUUUUGGUCAUCUGACUGUUCCAAUCUUAAUAAGCAACAGCUCUUUAUUUCUGGGAUACUUUUCGGGUUCAAAAGUUUUUUUGCUUCAAACAAGCGAUAUCGGCUUGUACAAGCGAUAUCUGAUUUCCUACAUAAAAAUUUAGAGGGUUUUGAAGUCCCACUAAAAGUUGCAUCGUGGAGGUUACACAAUUUGUGCUAUUAAAGACUUCUUCGAGCAAUAUCUCCCAAACAUCAGGGAUUCUACAUUCUACAACGCACAAAGCAUAAUGGGAUUGGGUUAUGGAGUCUUUUUAAGUUUGAACACAGAAAAAUGUAUGUUUUUGAAAACUAUUUUAAAUAUUCUAAAAUCCCAUUCAAAGUGGCAAAGAAUUUAUAUGGAAUACAAUGAGCAAUUAAACUUGCAACAAACUGAUCAUAUAGAAGAAAAUAAUAGUAUA